ACAAACACACAAACCUCUCCCUGUCCUCACCUGUGUGACGUUGGGAGGCUAGGUGCCUUUAGCUCUUUAGUAAAGGUUUGCCUACAGGAACGUGAUGCCGUGUUCUGCUGAAAAGCUGUAUUUCGGACAAGGAACGCGGCUCACUGUACUAGGAGUUGACCAAGAUGUCAGCCCCCCUCAAGUGACCGUAUUUGCCCCGCCCAGGCAGGAGGUUGACGAAAAGGAGAAAGCCACCAUUGUGUGUUUGGUCACCGAUUUCUUCCCAGAUCAUGUCGCCCUGAGCUGGACGGUGAAUAACGAGAAGAGAACGGCUGGGGUAAAGACAGAGGAACCAGUAUAUGACAAAACCACGAAGCGCUAUUCAAUGACCAGCCGUUUAAGAAUCACCAAGGAAGAGUGGCAGAAUGCAGAUAAUAAGUUUGUGUGCAGAGUCAGUUUCCACGGCACAGAAGGAUCCACAGACCAUGAGGAUGACAUAAAUGGUGCAGAUUGUGGUGGCGGCAGCGAGGCUGCAAGAGAGUCGUACCUCACGGAAGCCUAUCUUGGGGAACUGGUGUAUAUUCUUCUCAUUCUCAAGAGCACCUUGUAUGGAGCCUUUGUGAUGGGAUUAAAACUAAGAAAAAAGUUGGCACCAUAGGCACGUUUUACCUGGGGGCAUCUAUCCUGAGCUGAGUGAACUCCAUGAAGACAGGAGGGAAGAUGGAUACUCUCAACCUCAGAAGUCCAAAGUAGCAUUUUCUUAAAACAAAAACAGUUGCUUAGGGUCAGUCAGUAAAUAAUUUCUCUUUGGUUUUCUUAAAUGCUUUAUUAUUUUGUAUUGGAAACAUUUAUAAAAAGCUUUUUUUGGGGGGGGAGAAGUCCUUUACCUUGGACUGAGGAGGACACACAAAGGCAGGGGACAGUUGGUGGGGGUGUCCCUGUAGGGU
This is a non-coding RNA of Podarcis raffonei (Aeolian wall lizard), 926 nucleotides long. NCBI's taxonomy places the organism in Eukaryota, Metazoa, Chordata, Lepidosauria, Squamata, Lacertidae. The record is from the annotation of a RefSeq genome assembly.